This 436-nucleotide ribosomal RNA is filed under the name uncultured bacterium. RNAcentral describes it as "partial 16S ribosomal RNA". It matches the Rfam family "Bacterial small subunit ribosomal RNA", at positions 29 to 507 of the family's 1533-position model. The record is from RNAcentral.
GCGAACGCUGGCGGCAGGCUUAUCACAUGCAAGUCGAGCGGGCAUCCUUGUGGUGUCAGCGGCAGACGGGUGAGUAACGCGUGGGAACGUGCCCUUCGGUUCGGAAUAACUCAGGGAAACUUGAGCUAAUACCGGAUACGUGCGAGAGCAGAAAGGUUUAUCUGCCGAAGGAUCGGCCCGCGUCUGAUUAGCUAGUUGGUGAGGUUACGGCUCACCAAGGCGACGAUCAGUAGCUGGUCUGAGAGGAUGAUCAGCCACACUGGGACUGAGACACGGCCCAGACUCCUACGGGAGGCAGCAGUGGGGAAUAUUGGACAAUGGGGGCAACCCUGAUCCAGCCAUGCCGCGUGAGUGAUGACGGCCUUAGGGUUGUAAAGCUCUUUUCUCCGGGACGAUAAUGACGGUACCGGAGGAAUAAGCCCCGGCUAACUUCGUG